Molecule: non-coding RNA, 374 nt
Organism: Paramisgurnus dabryanus
Lineage: Eukaryota; Metazoa; Chordata; Actinopteri; Cypriniformes; Cobitidae
Source: RefSeq, a predicted model, not a curated record
CAAACUCAAUCUGCAACAACACUGCUGGGAGUUACAAUUGCUUGUGUAUGAGUGGAUAUAAUGUAACAGACCCGAACCUUCAUAUAAACAUCAGCAACCCAUGCACAGAUGUGAAUGAAUGUGAUGAGAUUCCAGAGAUCUGUGGUCCAAACUCAAUCUGCAAAAACACUGUUGGGAGUUACAAUUGCUCGUGUAUGAGUGGAUAUAAUGUAACAGACCUGAACCUCCCAAUAAACAUCAGUAACCCAUGCACAGAUGUAAAUGAAUGUGAUGAGAUACCUGAGGUCUGUGGUCCAAACUCAAUCUGCAACAACACUGAUGGGAGUUACAAAUGCUCGUGUAUGAGUGGAUAUAAUGUUACAGAUCCAAACCUC